RNAcentral lists this unclassified non-coding RNA (430 nucleotides) under soil metagenome. Its description in RNAcentral is "partial contains 5.8S ribosomal RNA, internal transcribed spacer 2, and large subunit ribosomal RNA". The stretch from base 1 to 120 matches the Rfam family "5.8S ribosomal RNA", at positions 35 to 154 of the family's 154-position model. The record is from RNAcentral.
GAUGAAGAACGUAGCGAAAUGCGAUACGUAAUGUGAAUUGCAGAAUUCAGUGAAUCAUCGAAUCUUUGAACGCAUAUUGCGCUCUCUGGUAUUCCGGAGAGCAUGCUUGUUUGAGUAUCAGUAAACACCUCAACUCCCUUUUCUUUUUUGAAAUUGGAGCUGGACUUGAGUGAUCCCAACGCUUUCUUCCAAGAAAGUGGCGGGUUGCUUGAAAUGCAGGUGCAGCUGAACUUUUCUCUGAGCUAUAAGCAUAUCUAUUUAGUCUGCCUAAAAAACAGAUUAUUACCUUUGCUGCAGCUAACAUAAAGGAGACUAGUUCUUGUGCUGACUGAUGCAGGAUUCACAGAGACAGCUUCGGCUGACUUUGUAAACUCGAACUCAAAUCAAGUAAGACUACCCGCUGAACUUAAGCAUAUCAAUAAGCGGAGGA